ACCGGCGGACGGGUGCGUAACGCGUAUGCAACCUGCCUGACACAGGGGGAUAAUCCGAAGAAAUUUGGUCUAAUACCCCAUAAUACCGAUAUAGGCAUCUAUGUUGGUUGAAAGCUUUGGUGGUGUCAGAUGGGCAUGCGUUGUAUUAGCUAGUUGGUGAGGUAACGGGCUCACCAAGGCGACGAUACAUAGGGGGACUGAGAGGUUAACCCCCCCACCACUGGUACUGAGACACGGACCAGACUCCUACGGGAGGCAGCAUG
RNAcentral lists this ribosomal RNA (263 nucleotides) under uncultured bacterium. RNAcentral's name for it is "partial 16S ribosomal RNA". It matches the Rfam family "Bacterial small subunit ribosomal RNA", at positions 94 to 353 of the family's 1533-position model. The record is from RNAcentral.